Molecule: non-coding RNA, 91 nt
Organism: Crenichthys baileyi (White River springfish)
Lineage: Eukaryota; Metazoa; Chordata; Actinopteri; Cyprinodontiformes; Goodeidae
Source: the annotation of a GenBank genome assembly
UGUCUGAAGUUGAGAUGGCCGAGGGGUUAAGGCGUUGCAGUUGAAGUCUGACGGGGUUUCCCCGUGCAGGUUUGAACCCUUCUCAGAGUAA